Molecule: long non-coding RNA, 450 nt
Organism: Harmonia axyridis
Lineage: Eukaryota; Metazoa; Arthropoda; Insecta; Coleoptera; Coccinellidae
Exons: 2
Source: RefSeq, a predicted model, not a curated record
AUAUAUCAAUAUAUAUUCUGAGGAUAAAAAGCAUCAAAUUCACAGGUGUGAAAUUGGCUGCAAAAUGCUAGAAUUUUCAUUGGCGUGCCAUCCGAAUUUUAUGGAAUAUAAUAAUUUUUAUUUGAGUGGAGAAAUUUUGGACACAUGGAGAUGCCGAUUUUGCGAUUUUCGUCAGGAGACAUAAACGGUGGUUGAUAUGAAUAUAAGCAAUUGAAAAAAAUUCAGAAAUAUCCUUGUUGAAGAAAGCCUGUACUGAUAUGAAUUGUUUGAAGAACUUGUAAGCCUGAAUCCAUUAUUCAAGGAUCUUCAAGCAGCAGAGCCAAUAAAAGUUCUUAGACAUCAAUUGUACAAUAUCCAAAUUAUUGUGAACUGAUAAAAAAAUUCGCAAGCCCUAAAGCCAGAAAAGUGCAAUUUGAAUUGUUUGAAAGAAAUAAAAGUUAUCAAACCUAA